This is a long non-coding RNA of Pan troglodytes (chimpanzee), 6707 nucleotides long. RefSeq lists it as uncharacterized. The record is from RefSeq and is a predicted model, not a curated record. NCBI's taxonomy places the organism in Eukaryota, Metazoa, Chordata, Mammalia, Primates, Hominidae. The transcript has 6 exons.
GUAGAGACGGGAUUUCACCGUGUUAGCCAGGAUGGUCUCGAUCUCCUGACCUCGUGAUCCGCCCGCCUCGGCCUCCCAAAGUGCCGGGAUUACAGGCGUGAGCCGCCGCGCCCGGCCCAGGAAGUACUUUUCUAAUAAAUGAAGGUAUGGCUGAGAAAUUUUUACAGAAACUGAAAAAUACAACAUUAUUUAAAUGAUGUAAGUCACUGUAAGAACUGAAACACACCAGCUUAAUUUACCAUGACUUUGUUUAUCCAUUCCUAAAGUAUAUUCAGUAGUUACAUAGCACAUGAACAAGUUAAAUAAGAUACCCAAGUGCGGGUGCUUCAUUGUCUCCGAAUGAAAUAUACCAGGAAAAAACAAUGACAAAAGACGUGAUUUUCUCUGGAAUUUCUCAUGUAAGAUGAAAUACAGAGGCAUAUAUGAUCUACUUGUAUAAAUUUAUUUCUCUAUAGCUGGCCUAUUCCCCAAAGAAGGAUACAUGGCUUAUAAAAUGCACAAAAUACAAUAGAAGAAAAUAAACAUAAGUAAGUAAAAUCAGGAACAGGUAAAAUAUAAAUUUGAAUCCAAGGUUAAGACUGGAGAAAAGUAGAAUGCAAACAGUUAUGUCCUACUGAGUUAUUAAAGUCAAGUUGCAAAUUUGGCUCUGGGCUUCCUGGAGGCUAAACAGCUAGAAAUUAAUGGAUAGACUAACAGAUUUUGAUGUUAUCAGUGGGAAAAAUAUACUUUCCAUUAGCCGUCUAAUUCUUUAAUACUUCACACUAAAUAUCCUUUGCAGAAAAAGUUUAAAUAUGGAAAUUUUGUGCAAAAUAAAGGGUUUGCUAAUUAGAAGGAAAUGUAUAAAGAAGCAUGUUUACAAAAGUGUUUCUCAUUAUGAAAACCGAUGGUUUCAAAAAACAUGUUAUGAUAAGGAAGAGAGUUUCAAAGUGUUCCCAGGUUAAUCUGGGGAAAAGUAACCAAAAGCCUGCUGCUUUGAAGGUUUAAUCCAAGAUGCUUAUCCAACCUGUUUGUUGAACAAAUCUUGCAAAUAAGGCCUUCUCAGAAGAUUCACAGCAUAUUCUGUGGGAGCUUGAAAUGUCAUCAGAACAGGCUUUCUGAUGAUAUUAUGCAGGCAUAACAUCCUAACAGUUGGGGUGAGGGUGGAAGAGGAAGGUAGCAAGAUUGUUUCAUUGCCUGGUUCUUCUGCUGUGCUGCAUAACAGCUUUUCUGGCAAUGACGAUAGGCAUAACUUAAAGAGAAAACAAAACAAAUAAACAAAAGAAAGAAAACAAGAAAGCUUGACAAGAGCCCUCCACACAAAUCCUUAACAGAAAUUCUUGACAAUUAUGGGUGUUAACAAAGCAUUUCAAAAGACGAUAGAAUUAUGACUCUCAUACAGAUAAAAAACAAAUGCAUGUUAAAGAUUUUAUUUAACUCCUUGUUAAGGAAAGAACCAGAGAAAUGUUACCAUCAGUUCAAAGGAGAAUCCAAAGAGCAGAUACAUUUAUAGAUCAGUAAUACCGAAAUGAAUUUUAAAAUGGACCUAUAAGUGGCUUUUCCGUGGAGGAGGAGGGCUGUUCCUCCACCAGACAAUUCAGCUAUAUGUCCACAGACAUUAUGAUUUGCUUUGUCAUCAAUUAUACAAUAGCUCAAAGAUAAUGAAAGGCUAGAAUUAGGUAACCCUGGAAAGGUAUCUCUAAAUGAGGCACCGUUUUCCAUUGGAAAUACCUAGUAAUCUUAUUUGUUUGCUCUGAAUUUCCUUAUUCUGGUAAGUAAAUCUGACCUCCAUCCUGGACACCCCACUGGUACUAGAGAGACAGCCAGGUGGGAGGGGGUCCCUGGAGAAACUCCAACUAGCCUGCCCACUGGGGUGGAGCCUCGGGAAGUUCCCUGUUUGCAGCAGGGAGGAGCCUGGCCCCUCCUCUUUCUGUGUGGAAUUUGGGAUUCAAACUGCCGGGCGGGAAGAAUUCUAGCAGAGGGACUCUGGCCUUAUGAAAGUUCCUGUUUACCCCUUUUUUUCCCUUUUCACCCAAUAAAAUCCUGCUUUACUUGCCCUUUAAACCAUCUGCAAGCCUAAAUUUUCAUGCCCGUGGGACAGACAAGAACCCCGACUUUGGCUGAACUAAGGAAAAGUUCUGCAACAUUUUUUUUUGAACAUUUAAAAGCAAGUUUUUGUUUGUUAUUUACUUAUUUUUAGAGACAGGAUCUCACUAUGUUGCCAAGGCUGGCCUCAAACUCCUGGCCUCAAGGAUCCUCCUCAUCCUCUCCAGUAUUGAGACUGUAGAUGCCCACCACUGUGUUGGGCCUUUUUAAAUUGAAAAUUUUAAGGGAAGCACAAAGUUUAUUAGUUUCAGAGAAAGUCAAAUGAUGUACAUGGGGGAUAGUCAUGAGUUAUCCCAUGAACAUACAAAAAUAAAUGCCAUUUUACCUCCUUUUUAAACUUAAACAGCUAUAGGGACUUGCAUUCUUGGUUUUUUUCAAACGUACAGUUCAGUUAUUAUUGACCGUAGUCACCCUGUUGUGCUAUCAAAUAGCAAGUCUUAUUCAUUCUUUCUAUGACGGAACGCUUUACUGUCUGCUAUCCCACAAUGAUAUUCACCCUUUUGUAACUCAUCUUUUCCAAACCAGGCUUUCUCAAUUUCACCAUCCUCACCUCCCCACAGCACAGCUGAGGCCCAUCUGAAGAAUGGUUACCAGAGGCUGGGAAGGGUAGUGGGGGAUUGAGAGGAGGUGGGGAUAGUUGAACUCUCAUGAGUUCAAUUGUUUUCAUUUUUAGAGCCCACAAAUAACUAAGAACAUGCAAUGUUUGUCUUUCUGUUCCUGGCUUAUUUCGCUUAACAUAAUGAUCUUCAGCUUCAUCCAUGAAGUCCUGCAACAUUUUUGGUGCCCAAUGUGGGGCUCAAAAAGCGGUGAGUGAAAUGGGGAAUCAAAACUGUUGCUUCUAAGCCUUUUCAUCCUGGGACUUCUGAGGGUGGGGAAACCAUGCCCCCAUCCCCCGUCGCUCCCAGGUCUUUUCAUGGCCUUUUCCUUCCUUUUUAAAGGUCCUUUUCCUUCCUUUUUCAGGACCACUGGUGAGCAGCAGCUCCCCACUCCCAGCCGGGGCUGGGACACAGAGCGCAAGGGUCCCGCACCGCAGGCUGGCUGGUUUCCAGCCACGCGCGGCUGCGCAGUCUUCCCCUUCCCUCGCCAAGGGGUUUAACUCUAUUAGACAGUAAUUAAGCUUAAACUUUUCUCCCUGGUGGAGCAACCACUUGCAUGAGCAUGAGAGGUUGUUCCCCAGGUAUGUUUACACCUUUUUUUCCCCCCUCUUCUCCGCCCCAUCGGCAGCAAAACCUUUAAAGUUUUUUUCUCCCCUUUGCUAGGUUAGGCUCCCCAACUAUCACCGUUUAUAUUUUCUGUAAAGCUUUAAUUGUGAGAAAGGAUUUGUGGGGCUAGUCUUGGGCUGUGGCCAAUCUGGUGUGCUUUGCAUCUUUUUGUUUGCACUGCAAGCCUCCAGCAUGUUUUACAUCCUGGGGGCAUGGCCAGUAACCACUUGGCAAGGCUUUGUUUAGCAACCGUGCCUUAGGGAGUGAGCCCUCUCUGGUUCAGUAUCAGCAUGUUUUCCUAGCCCUGUCUCCUAAAGGGCCCCGCACAGCGACUGGGUUUUCUCUUGUCUGUGUGUUUGUUGUGUGUAAUGUCUGUAAAAAGAGCUCUAAUUAAUUUGGCUUAAAGAAAGACAAGUGCUUGGAUCAUGUAUUUUUUUAAGGGAAGUUAAAAUCUGUGGUACCUUUCAGUUCACAUGACUUUAAUCUUUGAGAAAUAAAAACAGCCCUAAAGACUACUGGUAAAAUGCAGGUCAGAUAAAAGGUUUGCUAAGUGUUUUGAGGUUACAAACUGCUGCUCUUUGGGUUUUGGGAGCUAUUUGACUUGCUGGCUUCACAACUGGUAAGGGCUGGGGUCAUGUGGAACUAAACACGCUCUUAACUUAAGAAGGCAAACCUUGGCUGCAGUUAGCACACAAUUAAAGCAAUUUGCCAACUUUUACCUUAAAGUUAAAAAUUGCAAGGAGUUACCAUUAUAACAUGUAACUGAGACUACUGGAAAUAGAUUUACAAUCAACGUGUGUAAAAUCAGCAAAAUUUUUACUGUGUUUGUGUGUGUGUGUGUUUUGGUAAAAGGUUAUAAGAAGGCAUGGAAAUGUAAACUUUGGCCUAGGGUUAAAGGAUUGUUUUGAGUUAGAUAGGAAAAGCUGAAGGUUCAAAGAAGUGGUGGAAGAAUUGUGGAAAUUAAUCUUGCAGAAGAGUUUCCCUGUGUGAACGUAUUGACUAAAUUCAAAAGAGGAUAUUAUUACAUUGUUUUUCUGUAAGUUGAGCAUCGGACCAAAAGGACGACAAGGUUUUCCUAAGGCGCUAGUCUGCUAUUUGGCAAAAUUUGUAAAGGGUUAUAAAAGGUUUUUGCUUCUUUAAAAUUUCUGAGUAAUCAUUUUGGCACAAUAAAUAACUCAUGGUAAUCUGGAAUUCUAUUUCAUAAUAUCAAGUGUUUUGAACCUUGAACAUUUAACAGCCUUCCCCAAAUCAAACUUUAGUUACAAAAUUGUCUUCCUUGGCACCUGGCUUUUUGAAUGCUUCAGAGGGCCUCUGAAGUGUCCAGGAAAGAGAGAAAGCCAUGUUGGUUCACCACAUGUAUCGCAUCCUGAUAAUGUGAAGUGAAAAAGUAGAGCCUGGAAGCCUUUGUAAGAUGACUGUGCCAGAGGAGGAAGAUAAAUAUCUCGAUGCUAUGGAGGCCUGUCAGCUCUUUGAAGUAUCUGGGCAAUAUCAAGAUUUCUACUUCAGAGGAAAAAACAAAUAGUUAUUCAUUGACCCUGAUGCUGCCAAGAAAGAGGUGAAAGGUGAGCCCCCAACCCACGGAAAGAUCCAGCCAAGUAAGGAACUGCGAAAUAUUGAAUGACUAAUUCUCCAAACAAGGACUGGUUUUGAUCCGAGGAGAUCUGCUUCAAUUCUUAGUAAACGUCAAAAUUGCUACUGGUUGUCUGCUAGUCCAUCGUCUUAAACACUGAGGGAAGAGUUUCCCAUGCUUACACAGAUAAGUCAGCCUUGCAAAAUAAAUCAUACUUUCAGCUAAAUAAGCCAAUUAAAGCAGGAAUAAUGUGAUUAAAAGCAAAUCACCCAAACACUUAAAAUAUCUUAAAAAUCCAAUAUUUAUUCUCCAAUAAGGGAAAGUAUUCAGACUUAAUGCAUAGAAAUGGAGAUGUGCUAGCUAUGCAGAUUCCUUCCAUCUUUUCUCAUGUUUCUAAUGGCAUUUUAAAGUAGACUAUGCCUGGCUCUGCCUGGAGAUUACUUCAUGGACUAGUAGUUCCUCAAGGAUGUGAGAAAAAGUGGCAUAUUAGCUGCUUUAUAAUCCAUGUAGCACAUUUUCAAGCACCAGGUUAGUUCUAGGGAUGAGCAUAUGAUGAAAUCCAACUGAGGAGGGAAAGUGUGCAGAGUAGAGAAUAGCAUAUCAUGAGGUAUUCAAGCAUUUGCCUGUAUUGGCUUUGCAUUUAUUACCAGAUACAUUAAGAGCUGUCUGUGAAUGUGAAAACAAAUUUGGAUCAUCCUAUCCAGAAGGGAAGGCUCCAUUGUCUCCCUGUUUAUCCGGCACUAGUACAGAUUCCAAGUAUUUGAGUAUGCUGACUUUUAGGGCUAAUACAAACUGGUCUAGCUACCACGUGUGCCCUGGCACAGAACUGCAUUACUGAUGUUUUUAUUUAAGGGUCAAACUAUUACUGUUCCUACGAUCAAAUGAAAAAUUCUGGAAUGUCUUUAUAGUCUCCUUUAUCCUAGUUCUGAAUGACAACACAUUUUUUAAAAUUCAUGUUUCUAACUUUGUUCAAUUUGAAAUUAAUUAUACUUGUAAUUUUUGGACUAGAAUUGAAUUGAAUUAUAUUGAUCCAAAAUUUUUUCUCAGAAGAAUGUAAUUUCAUUUCUCUGAACUUCAAACAUGAGUUAUUUUCCAUAAUGAUAGUAAAAAAUUGAAGAACAGAUGGCACUAUCAGAAUAAAGGCAUGUAGAUAAAAUAAUCAAUAGCUCAUAUAAAAAUGCUUUGCUCACUUUUUUAAUCCUUUGGCAUUGCCUAAAAUAACUAAAGGUUUCUAUUGCAACACUAGUCUAGUCGGUUCACCUGGCCCAAAUGGCUGCAGAAACCAGGUCCUUCCCCGUCCUGCUGGGUUACUGGAGGGUUGGGUUGGAUGUACAGCCCGACUGGUUUUCACAUCUCCUCUUUUGUCCUCCAUGGUGGGUAAUACCACCACGGGGAUAAGUGUGCAUUGCUCAAGGGUGCUGUUAGAAGACAUGACUUCAGUGUACCCUUCUUCACAGUGGCAUGUUUUUGUCUGCAGGAGAACAAGAAGAUUUACACUAGCCAUGCAAGGAAUCUUUGAAAGUCUAGCAGACCUGACUUGAAGAGAAGGCUCUAAACAAGAAAUUCUUCAUUCUGGAACAGUGAUUCUUAAAGUGCGGUUCAGAGACCCUGGGAGACAUUGACAUUCUUUCAGAGUGUGAGUGAGGAUUUCCUCUUUGCAACUACAAUCUGUUUCUUAAACUUCUGAUUACACUUGGCUGGAACCUCCUUCACUAGGUUGACAAUAAGUGGCAAUAGUGGUAUCCUUGUUCUGUUAUUGAUUCCAAGAGCCUGCCUCUGAUGUUUCCCCAUGUAUUAUGAUGUUUGUGUAAAUUUUGAUAGACCUUAUUUAUUAAGUAAAAGAUUCUCUUCUA